This is a small nucleolar RNA of Mustela putorius furo (domestic ferret), 128 nucleotides long. The record is from Ensembl. NCBI's taxonomy places the organism in Eukaryota, Metazoa, Chordata, Mammalia, Carnivora, Mustelidae.
CCUGCCCUCAGAGGCAUCUCCGAUGCGGCUGCUGUGUGCCGCUUGUGUCAUUAGGUGGCAGAAAGAGAGGCUCCUCUAGGCUCAGUGUUCUGGCCUGUGAACAUCUGGAUAAUUAAUAGUCUGACACG